RNAcentral lists this unclassified non-coding RNA (609 nucleotides) under Hevea brasiliensis (rubber tree). The record is from RNAcentral. Lineage: Eukaryota; Viridiplantae; Streptophyta; Magnoliopsida; Malpighiales; Euphorbiaceae.
GUGAAAUAUCUUUUAUAUUCUUUGUAAUUUCAUGAUGAAGAUCAGCACAUGACAAAGUAGGCUUUUUUGGUGUGACUCUGUCAUGUGGAGCCAAAUUUUGCCUUGCUCGGGUUAUUACAGUCUCAGAAGUUCCUAAUGAUAGCUGAUCCCUUGAAUUUAUUUUCGGCGUUGAAUGGUCUCCCAUAAGACAAAUAAUUUUUUUAUGACUUCAGCAAUAUCCCAAGUUCAGACUAUGGGAUGCAGAUGUUUGUCAACUUCAACCUUUCUUCUCUUAAGAUUUGCAAGGAAAAGGCUUUAAUGUGUUCUUUUCAGCUCAAAAAAGAUGCUGGCCACUCCAUUUCAGCUUUAGUAAUGCAGAGGCAAGAGAUGCCAUUAACAGAAGCACCAGCCCCUCCAACAGGAAGUAACGAGUGUCGGUGCUCCAGAGGUCAAUGAAACCCAAGAAAACAACUACCAGAGAUUAGCAAGAGUUGCAGAGAGCAAGUAAGCGGCAAAAAAAAAAGAUAUCAACGCCUUCAUUUUGUUUUAGAUACUCCAAACUCGAAACUCCAAACCAAGAAUAAGCAAUCCCAGAAAAGCACAAAGAUAAAGAGAGGCAUGUAGAGAGAG